GGCGAAAUGGCCGAGCGGUCUAAGGCGUUGGACUUAAGUUCCAAUAUCGUAAGAUGCGUGGGUUCGAACCCCACUUUCGUCA
Molecule: non-coding RNA, 82 nt
Organism: Parastrongyloides trichosuri
Lineage: Eukaryota; Metazoa; Nematoda; Chromadorea; Rhabditida; Strongyloididae
Source: Rfam